UGUAACCUAUUUUUGAUCAUUAUUCACUGUUAAUUACUUUUAAAAAUAUAUAUUUAGGAUAAAAUACUUUACAACCCUAUCUAUCUGUCCGUUCUGUGUAUUUAGGUCAGAUUCGCCACACCACUAGAUGGUGGUAAAACUCCAUGUCCAUGAUUUCUAACGCGUUAACACGUGAUUUACGUGUUAACACGCACUUACGCGUUAACACGUAGUGCGUGUUAACACGUGAUUUACGCGUUAACACGUAGUGCGUGUUAACACGUAUUUUAACAUGUUUUUGCCCUAAUGGCCUUCCAUAAAAAGGCGCCCUGCCCAUAGAAUAUCAUUCAAAAAAGGCGCCUGCAACUGCCAUAAACGCUUUUGGUGUGACUGGCCCCUUAAUAGGGAACUUAUCUACAAAAACAAACACUUGUUAUACUUUUAUGAAUUAUAAAGUUGUACAACACACAGCAAUUAGGAUUUAGACAAACAAAAAAAUCACAGAUAUUAAUUUUAUUGUUGUGUCUAAUAUAUAUAGAAACAACUUGUGUUGUAAAAGAAAAGAUGACAGCAUAUCUCUUUAUCACGUGCCAGAAUAGGCCCUGACUGCACGCGAGAACAUUUGAAUUACCUGGCACGAGGCCUCACACAUCAUACUUCAACUGACACAACGGUCUCGAUGGUAGGAAUAAGCAAAAGCUCAUUUAAAUUUCGUAAUUUUUUAUACACAUCCCGUUUAUUUUGUAGUUAAUUGUUAGAUAAGUUAGUAAUUUCGUCAAGUUUUUGUUACAGGGUAAGAUUUCGUUACCAUAUACAGUAAAUAUUGGUUCAAGAGCGCAGUUUGAUAACUCAUUCGAGGUUUGUAAAUGGUAAAUAACUUAUUCGAGGGGUUUCUGUUCCUGCAGUCUUUCAGCGGUGCUGGGGCGUAUGACGAUGCGGACAUGAACAGCACACUACAGUAUACCGCCACCUACUGUACUGUAGUACAAUAACGUGUAGGAUUGAAUACUGUGCCAAACGCAGUAAAAAAAAAUAGCCAUUUAAUUCAUUGUAAAAACAAUGGACAUGCCAGUUCAAGUAACUUGUGGGCUAAAUCACCAAAAUAAGUUUGUAGAUGUGGUUCAAUUAUUUUUAAUAACUGUGCAGCAUAAUGAAUCAGCCUGAAUGCAUGUAGCCUAUGAAUAUAUCGUUUAGACAUUAUUUUUAAACCUUUAUCUGGUGUAUGGUUAAACCUUAUGAUGGUAGCAAUUGAAUACAAAUCUUAAAUUGAAUCAAAUCUCUUAUAAUAAUACAUAAAAUCUCUGGGACGGUUGGGGGUACAUCUGGGUAACAUUUAAGCAGCUUAAUUUUUUUAUAUUCUUUUAUAUAUUUUGAUGUGUAGAUAUAGAUAUAUUUACUUUCUUUAUUUUGUUUUCUCAGCCUUUAAACAUCUAAACGUGUCCUCCAAAAAGGUAAGUUCAGCACCAGAUCAGCUUAUCUUAUACUGUAAUAUUGAUACUGGUUUGAGAAAAAACUAAGAUUUUCUCAAACUAAACCAAAGAAACUAAACCAGAAAAAACAUUGGGAAACAAUUUUAGCCUAAGGUUUGAGAAUAAAGCCAAUAGUCCUCUAUUAAGGCUAACUGUGUAUAUUGCCUUUGUGGACUGCAAGCUGAACUUACAGAUUUAUAUGGACUUUACUUACAGGUUUCCUGUGCUGUUUUGCUCCAUUUUACUGAACAAAAUAAGGCUGAGGUAGCACCAUCAUUGUGGUUAGAGUGAAAGAAUGUGGGUAUUGAGACCAAAAUAAACAAUGUGCCAUUCUGGACAAUAUAUGCUGUCAGAGUAGCCUAUUUUCUCACACAGGUAAAGCAUGCAAAGUAAUACCAAACUUCUUUUUAACCUCAACAAAUACUGUCAAGCCAAAUAUACAAUGUUUGUAUGAGGUACUGUGCAAAAGUCUUAGGCCAGCAUGCUACCAUUAAAUUUGUGGUUUUUGCAAUUGUGUAAUGAUCAUAUAUCACUAUUUCUCAGUCUCUUUAUUAGGAUACAACCAGAAAAUACAGGAAAUAUGUAUGUAGUAUUAAAAAAAGUAUAAAAGUUGAAGCUGAAGUGUCAAGUUUUUAGGGUAAACUCCCCUUCCACUUGAGCAAUAGCAGGCAACUGCAGAAUCUCUUAAAGGAAUAGUCUACUCAUUUUCAAUAUUAAAAUACAAACACAAAGAAUGGCCUCUCAGCUACCGUAGUUGCAACUCUUGCGUCAUCACAACAGGGUGUUCAAUGCAUCACCGUUUCUGUUUAAUAAACGUUGUGCAACGUUUCGUCGGGGCUGAACGCAGCCCUGUUGUGAAUCCGUUGUAAGAGGACGUCACUAGGUGACGUAUUUUACACGUGCAUUUAUAGUCCAUCAUGACCCUCUAUAAAAAAUCAUAAACCUUCUAUAAAGUCAUUGCGAAAUGCUGUGCGUACCCCUUGGUUAAUACUGCUAUAAUUAAUUUAAGUGCAAAAAGUAGUUUUUAAGAGGUUGUGAAUAGACGUCCACUGACGUCUUUUACACGUAUAGACUAGACUAGUAGGAAAAAAACAGAAUUAUCUUUAUGAAAUACACGAUUUGUAUACAAAGUAAAUAUAUUAAAUAAAUUAUAAUCACAAAGUGCCCAGUGUGAUUGCAAAGCCACAAUACAUUUUAGUCAUUAUUUCAACCUGCUUUAUUAUUAAAUGUAUGCAUAUAAAUGUAAAGAAAGUAUAUAUCCGGUUACCAUUUAGGUCUGAGUUGGAUGUAAUUUCAAAAACUGCGCUGCCAAGAUUGUUUUAACAAAAUAUUUUACAAAAUCACGCGAUAGGAUAGAUUUUCUCGCGAGAUAGUUGUCACGUCACGUGUUCUCCCGGAAGUACGUACGUGUGCAGCCAGCAAGCAACGAGGAAAGGAUGAAUUUACGAAGGAGUUGUGUCUAUAUAUAUAUUAUAAAAUCUACUAUUGGUUGAAGAUCAACACAAACCAAAUGAAGAUGUUGCAGAUUCUACAAACAAUAAAAAAGAAGAUAAAGUUUUGUGUCAAACACACUUGGAUGAGACGUGCCUGACUUUGUCUACCCUAGUUGUGAUGGCACACAUCAUGACAGUAAACAUCGGUAUCAAGAUGGUGUGAUUGAUCUAUAUCCUAGAAUAAGCUGUGACACUGAUGCUUUUUUUUGUGUAUUCCCACACUAUACAAACACAUUGCUUGGCUCCAAAUUGCAUACAGUUUCAUCUUUAUAAUGUCAUUCUCAUUUAUAGGUAAAAAUUUAUUCCAUGAGUCAGGGUUUUGCCUGAAUGUCAACAUAAUAUCCCAAAACUUUGACAUAAAAAGUGAUUUAUUUUAAUAUUUUACACUACUAUGUAUUUUUUUAAAUACAUUGUGCAUGUGUAUGUUUAUUGUACUUAAUGAAAUUACAUGCAAGAUGUAAUUUGUUUCGCAGGGUCACAUAAUGAACAGCCAUCUUACAGACAACCGAAA
Non-coding RNA from Misgurnus anguillicaudatus (oriental weatherfish), 3452 nucleotides. Lineage: Eukaryota; Metazoa; Chordata; Actinopteri; Cypriniformes; Cobitidae. The record is from RefSeq and is a predicted model, not a curated record.